This is a non-coding RNA of Oncorhynchus kisutch (coho salmon), 399 nucleotides long. The record is from the annotation of a RefSeq genome assembly. NCBI's taxonomy places the organism in Eukaryota, Metazoa, Chordata, Actinopteri, Salmoniformes, Salmonidae.
AGUGCAGUUACCAUCAGUUCAGCAUCAACACAAACCAUGUUCCCUGUAUCUCUGCUGUUGGUGCUGGCAGCUGUAUCCUGUGUGUUCUGUCAGACUGAACUCACACAGCCAGGGUCUAUGACCCUGCAGCCUGGACAGCCUCUGACCCUCUCCUGUCAGGUCUCUGGGUAUUCAGUAACCAGCACCAGCUCCUGUACAGGUUGGGUACGACAGCCUGCAGGAAAAGCACUGGAGUGGGUUGGAGAAAUGUGUGGCAGUGGUGGCAUAUACUACAGUGAUAAGCUGAAAAACAAGUUCAGUAUCUCCAGAGACACUUCCAGCAGCACAGUGACUUUAACAGGACAGAGUCUGCAGACUGAAGACACAGCUGUGUAUUAUUGUGCUCGACGACCACGGUGA